CGCGGAGGAUGCAAGCGUUAUCCGGAUUCAUUGGGUUCAAAGGGUGCGCAGGCGGGCAUUUAAGUCAGUGGUGAAAAGCUGCCGCUUAACGGUAGUCUUGCCAUUGAUACUUUUUGUCUUGAGUUUGUUUGAGGUAGGCGGAAUGUGCAGUGUAGCGGUGAAAUGCAUAGAUAUUGCACGGAACUCCGAUUGCGUAGGCAGCUUACUAGACCAAUACUGACGCUCAUGCACGAAAGCGUGGGGAUCAAACGGGA
RNAcentral lists this ribosomal RNA (254 nucleotides) under uncultured prokaryote. Its description in RNAcentral is "partial 16S ribosomal RNA". It matches the Rfam family "Bacterial small subunit ribosomal RNA", at positions 524 to 777 of the family's 1533-position model. The record is from RNAcentral.